Molecule: ribosomal RNA, 276 nt
Filed under: uncultured bacterium
Lineage: Bacteria
Description: partial 16S ribosomal RNA
Rfam family: Bacterial small subunit ribosomal RNA
Source: RNAcentral
CCUACGGGGGGCAGCAGUGAGGAAUAUUGGUCAAUGGACGAGAGUCUGAACCAGCCAAGUAGCGUGAAGGAUGACUGCCCUAUGGGUUGUAAACUUCUUUUAUAUGGGAAUAAAAUGUUUCACGUGUGGGAUUUUGUAUGUACCAUAUGAAUAAGGAUCGGCUAACUCCGUGCCAGCAGCCGCGGUAUUACGGAGGAUCCGAGCGUUAUCCGGAUUUAUUGGGUUUAAAGGGAGCGUAGGGGGAUUGUUAAGUCAGUUGUGAAAUUUUGCGGCUCA